GACGAACGCUGGCGGCGUGCUUAACACAUGCAAGUCGAACGGAAAGGCCCUGCUUUUGUGGGGUGCUCGAGUGGCGAACGGGUGAGUAACACGUGAGUAACCUGCCCUUGACUUUGGGAUAACUUCAGGAAACUGGGGCUAUUACCGGAUAGGAGCUCCUGCUGCAUGGUGUGGGUUGGAAAGUUUCGGCGGUUGGGGAUGGACUCGCGGGUUAUCAGCUUGUUGGUGGGGUAGUGGCUUACCAAGGCUUUGACGGGUAGCCGGCCUGAGAGGGUGACCGGCCACAUUGGGACUGAGAUACGGCCCAGACGGCUACGGGAGGCAGCAGUGGGGAAUAUUGCACAAUGGGCGGAAGCCUGAUGCAGAAACGCCGCGUGCGGGAUGACGGCCUUCGGGUUGUAAACCGCUUUCGCCUGUGACGAAGCGUGAGUGACGGUAAUGGGUAAAGAAGCACCGGCUAACUACGUG
RNAcentral lists this ribosomal RNA (468 nucleotides) under uncultured bacterium. Its description in RNAcentral is "partial 16S ribosomal RNA". It matches the Rfam family "Bacterial small subunit ribosomal RNA", at positions 28 to 507 of the family's 1533-position model. The record is from RNAcentral.